GUCAUAUGCUUGUCUCAAAGAUUAAGCCAUGCAUGUCUCAGUACAAGCCAUAUUAAGGUGAAACCGCGAAAGGCUCAUUAAAUCAGUUAUGGUUCCUUAGAUCGUACCCACGUUUACUUGGAUAACUGUGGUAAUUCUAGAGCUAAUACAUGCAAACAGAGCUCUGACCGGAGACGGGAGGAGUGCUUUUAUUAGAUCAAAACCAAUCGGCGGCAGUUAUGUUUCGGCAUUACUGUGCAGUCGCACUGUUUGGUGACUCUGAAUAACUUUUGGCUGAUCGCACGGUCUUGCACCGGCGACGCAUCUUUCAAAUGUCUGCCUUAUCAACUGUCGAUGGUAGGUUCUGCGCCUACCAUGGUUGUAACGGGUAACGGGGAAUCAGGUUCGAUUCCGGAGAGGGAGCCUGAGAAACGGCUACCACAUCCAAGGAAGGCAGCAGGCGCGCAAAUUACCCACUCCCGGCACGGGGAGGUAGUGACAAAAAAUAACGAUACGGGACUCAUCCGAGGCCCCGUAAUCGGAAUGAGUACACUUUAAAUCCUAUAACAAGGACCAAUUGGAGGGCAAGUCUGGUGCCAGCAGCCGCGGUAAUUCCAGCUCCAAUAGCGUAUAUUAAAGUUGUUGCGGUUAAAAAGCUCGUAGUUGAAUCUGUGUCCCGCGCUGUCGGUUCACCGCCCGCGGUGUUUAACUGGCACGUCUCGCGGGACGUCCUGCCGGUGGACGUGUAUUCUGCGUGUCCUCCCAUCAUUUCAUUCGUAUUAGCACUGCGUACUGUCUUCCGUUGUAUAGACAACUUGUGUGAGUGUAGUGUGUUCUUUAACCAGUUCACACUCGCUCCGCCGGUUCCUAUGCGCGGCUUUAUGCGUGUGUACGCGUGGUGGUGUGUGGGGUGCCGUUGUGGUACCGUCCGACUAACGAAUCCUGUCGCGGUGCUCUUAACUGAGUGUCGAGGCGGGCCGGCACGUUUACUUUGAACAAAUUAGAGUGCUCAAAGCAGGCUAAAAUUUCGCCUGAAUACUGUGUGCAGGAAUAAUGAACAGGACCUCGGUUCUAUUUUGUUGGUUUUCCGAACCCCGAGUUAAUGAUUAAUAGGGACAGAUGGGGGCAUUCGUAUUGCGACGUUAGAGGUGAAAUUCUUAGAUCGUCGCAAGACGGACAGAAGCGAAAGCAUUUGCCAAAAAUGUUUUCAUUAAUCAAGAACGAAAGUCAGAGGUUCGAAGGCGAUCAGAUACCGCCCUAGUUCUGACCAUAAACGAUGCCAGCUAGCGAUCCGCCGACGUUCCUCCGAUGACUCGGCGGGCAGCUUCCGGGAAACCAAAGCUUUUGGGUUCCGGGGGAAGUAUGGUUGCAAAGCUGAAACUUAAAGGAAUUGACGGAAGGGCACCACCAGGAGUGGAGCCUGCGGCUUAAUUUGACUCAACACGGGAAACCUCACCAGGCCCGGACACCGGAAGGAUUGACAGAUUGAGAGCUCUUUCUUGAUUCGGUGGGUGGUGGUGCAUGGCCGUUCUUAGUUGGUGGAGUGGUUUGUCUGGUUAAUUCCGAUAACGAACGAGACUCUAGCCUGCUAACUAGGCGUUACUUACCGGUAUCCUGAAGGCUUGUGUCUCUCGUUACCUGUCACUUGUAUGUUGCGCGUUCGUGUGUUCUGCGUGGUCGUUUCGGCGGCACCGUAGUCGCGCAGCGUUGCGCUGCUUGUGUGCAGUACGAGUGUAUACAGUUUUUACUACCGGCGUACAUAUAAAUCUUCUUAGAGGGACAGGCGGCUUCUAGCCGCACGAGAUUGAGCAAUAACAGGUCUGUGAUGCCCUUAGAUGUUCUGGGCCGCACGCGCGCUACACUGAAGGAAUCAGCGUGUCUUCCCUGGCCGAACGGUCCGGGUAACCCGCUGAACCUCCUUCGUGCUAGGGAUUGGGGCUUGCAAUUGUUCCCCAUGAACGAGGAAUUCCCAGUAAGCGCGAGUCAUAAGCUUGCGUUGAUUACGUCCCUGCCCUUUGUACACACCGCCCGUCGCUACUACCGAUUGAAUGAUUUAGUGAGGUCUUCAGACUGGUUCGCGGUGGCGUUCCGACGUCGCCGAUGACGCUGGGAAGAUGACCAAACUUGAUCAUUUAGAGGAAGUAA
RNAcentral lists this ribosomal RNA (2124 nucleotides) under Patrobus longicornis. RNAcentral describes it as "SSU rRNA". It matches the Rfam family "Eukaryotic small subunit ribosomal RNA". The record is from RNAcentral. Lineage: Eukaryota; Metazoa; Arthropoda; Insecta; Coleoptera; Carabidae.